RNAcentral lists this ribosomal RNA (253 nucleotides) under uncultured bacterium. RNAcentral's name for it is "partial 16S ribosomal RNA". It matches the Rfam family "Bacterial small subunit ribosomal RNA", at positions 524 to 776 of the family's 1533-position model. The record is from RNAcentral.
UACGAAGGGGGCUAGCGUUGCUCGGAAUCACUGGGCGUAAAGCGCACGUAGGCGGCUUGUUAAGUCAGGGGUGAAAUCCUGGAGCUCAACUCCAGAACUGCCUUUGAUACUGAAGAUCUUGAGUUCGGGAGAGGUGAGUGGAACUGCGAGUGUAGAGGUGGAAUUCGUAGAUAUUCGCAAGAACACCAGUGGCGAAGGCGGCUCACUGGCCCGAUACUGACGCUGAGGCACGAAAGCGUGGGGAGCAAACAGG